This 28-nucleotide non-coding RNA is filed under the name Mus musculus (house mouse). Lineage: Eukaryota; Metazoa; Chordata; Mammalia; Rodentia; Muridae. The record is from RNAcentral.
UGAGAUACCAGACUGUCAGACGUUGGCC